This 1013-nucleotide long non-coding RNA is filed under the name Musa acuminata (dwarf banana). Its description in RNAcentral is "long non-coding RNA (MACU_LNC003839)". The record is from RNAcentral. Lineage: Eukaryota; Viridiplantae; Streptophyta; Magnoliopsida; Zingiberales; Musaceae.
GAGUAGGCCACCUCUCUCUCCUUAUCCCUUGGGGACAGGAGUCCGCCACACUUGCAGCUGGCUUGUUGAUGACGGGUCAUGGAGCUGUCAACCUCAUCCCACUAAUUCUGCAUGACAUCUUUAGUAGGUUGAUUUGAGCUGAUAUCAAGUUAUAUUUCAGUGAUCAUUCAGCUGAAACAUUAAGCUUAAACAGCAUAUUCAGAUACAGAAGACCAUUGAGAUGUUUGAGGUGUGUGUUGAGAGAAACAACAAUAUAUGAGAAUGAAGAACACAACUGGCUGGUUUGCCAGUGGAUAAAGUUUGGAGUCGACAUCGAGGAUGCAGGUCUGCUACGACACCACAAAAGACUAUUGACUUAUUUUGAGGUCAGUAUCGACUGCUUGAUCUAUCCACACCCGACAUUGGUCAUCCUGCAACAGCUUUUUCUACCUCAAAAGACUCGAAUUCUUUCCUGGAUAACGGCAUACAAAGAAAUCUUUCUCAAAAUCUACAAGAUUUUGACCAGAUUGCUUGACAUGAAGUAAACAGGAGUAAUUUGGGUUAAGAAAUGCAGGUACUCAAUUAUUUGUCAAUCUCAAAUCAUUCUUGAAGAUGAUGCUGAUGCUUUUAGCUGAUAAAUCUUGCAAGACUUUCAUGUACUUCUUGGCCACAGUACCAUCUUCGACCAAGUCAUUGAUCUCUACAGACUUUGAUGGUGACAAAGUCUUAUCCACUCUUUCCUUUAAUCUAACUAAUCCAAGGAUGAUCUCAUCACUGGUGAGGGGAGAGAUUGUUUUCAUGAAACAAAUCCUGAUCAUCAAGAUCUUGAAUUUGAUUGUAGAAAUUAUGAAUAUAAAUAUAUAGUCAUUUAGCAUAAGGUCUUCAACUUGAUUUAGAUUUGAACUUUUCAACAUUGGAAAAGGUGGAAGAGAAAGAAAAAGGUUUACUUGUUUUGUUAUUAUGUGUUCAAAAAGCAUCCCAAAGUCAUAUUAGGAAAAAAUAUAUAAAAAGUAUUAACAUAAAUGGUAGAAAAU